UUAUCUCUGUAGAGUCUGCAUAUCAAUAAGCGGAGGAAAAGAAACUAACUAGGAUUCCCUCAGUAACGGCGAGUGAAGCGGGAAGAGCUCAAAUUUGAAAUCUUCAAGGUUCUACCUUGACGAAUUGUAGUUUAAAGAAGUGUUUUCUGUUGGAUGUUUUGGUAAAAGUUCUUUGGAAUAGGACAUCAUAGAGGGUGAGAAUCCCGUAUUUGACCAUUACUUCCAGCUUUGUGAUACACUUUCAAAGAGUCGGAUUGUUUGGGAAUGCAGUCCAAAAUGGGUGGUAAAUUUCAUCUAAAGCUAAAUAUUGGCGAGAGACCGAUAGCGAACAAGUACCGUGAGGGAAAGAUGAAAAGAACUUUGAAAAGAGAGUUGAACAGUACGUGAAAUUGUCAAAAGGGAAGCGUUUGACACCAGUGUUGUUUUCUCGAAAAUCAAUUAAAAAAGGCAGGAUUUUGUGUUGUAUUGACUUUAUCAGCUUUCUGCACUCUUUUCUUGUCUUUUUUAAUGCACUUUUCGUUUAACAAGUCAACAUCAAUUUCUUUUGUUGUAAAAGGGUCAUUGGAAGGUGGCUUUCUUUUCGGAGAAAGUGUUUAUAGCCUUUGGCCUCUGCAACCGGAGAGAUUGAGGUCUGCAGCGUAGAUCCUUCGGGGUUAGAUACAUUUGUGCUAAGUUAUAGCCUUUCAUAGACAACUUGUUGACUAUGAUCAGUCAUGUAGCUUACUCGCUUAUGCUAUUUUACCUACGCUUAGGAUGUUGACGAUCAGCUGAGCGCG
Molecule: ribosomal RNA, 776 nt
Filed under: uncultured Neocallimastigales
Lineage: Eukaryota; Fungi; Neocallimastigomycota; Neocallimastigomycetes; Neocallimastigales
Description: partial large subunit ribosomal RNA
Rfam family: Eukaryotic large subunit ribosomal RNA
Source: RNAcentral